RNAcentral lists this ribosomal RNA (477 nucleotides) under uncultured Alcanivorax sp. RNAcentral describes it as "partial 16S ribosomal RNA". The record is from RNAcentral. Lineage: Bacteria; Pseudomonadati; Pseudomonadota; Gammaproteobacteria; Oceanospirillales; Alcanivoracaceae.
UCGCACCACACUGCGGGGGUGAUACACAGAAGAGAGUCACUGCAACGCCGUCGAAGGAGUGAUUUACCGUCAGUGUCAGAGAGAUGUGGACAUCAUCCGUUUAAUUAACGUGAAGCACAAUGAAUCCGGAACCAGUAGACGAAAAAUACUGUCCCCCCCUCGCACCACACUGCGGGGGUGAUACACAGAAGAGAGUCACUGCAACGCCGUCGAAGGAGUGAUUUACCGUCAGUGUCAGAGAGAUGUGGACAUCAUCCGUUUAAUUAACGUGAAGCACAAUGAAUCCGGAACCAGUAGACGAAAAAUACUGUCCCCCCCUCGCACCACACUGCGGGGGUGAUACACAGAAGAGAGUCACUGCAACGCCGUCGAAGGAGUGAUUUACCGUCAGUGUCAGAGAGAUGUGGACAUCAUCCGUUUAAUUAACGUGAAGCACAAUGAAUCCGGAACCAGUAGACGAAAAAUACUGUCCCCCCC